AUGCUAGCUAAGCAAGUAUGGAGGCUGAUUGAUGAACCUGAAUCCCUUUGUGCAAGGGUACUGAGAGCAAAAUACUACCCCUCUGGUGAUAUUUUAAAAGCAGGGCCCAAGAAAGGAUCUUCCUUUACUUGGCAGAGCUUAGUAGUGGGUAUUCAGACAUUCAAACGUGGGCACAUAUGGAGGAAUGGCACUGGGGAAAAGAUCAAUAUUUGGGAGGACCAUUGGAUUCCCUCGAGCCCUACUAGACAAAUUAUUACACCGAGGGGUGGUGCUCUAAUUACUAAAGUCAAUGAACUUAUUGAUCCUGUUACCGAGCAGUGGGACGAGGAGUUAAUACGUGGGAUAUUCAACCUAGUGGAUGUUAGCCGGAUCCUACAGAUUCCCUUAAGCCACCACGGAUUUGACGAUUUUGUAGCCUGGCAUGGCAAUAGUAAUGGAAUUUUUUCGGUAAGAUCGGCAUACCAUUGUGAAUGGAAACAUCAGUUCAGCCCAAGAUCUUUGUCGGCAAUAACAGGACCAUCAAUGUCAAAUCCAGUUUGGACAAUCCUAUGGAAGCUCAAAGUCCCGGGAAAAGUGAAAAUAUUCAGCUGGAGGGCCCUUCAUGGAUUAAUCCCAUUAAAAUCAAUCUUGGCAAACAGGCACAUUGGUACUGAUGGAAGUUGUCUGAUUUGCCAUCAAGGGGUUGAAGACAUCCAUCAUCUCUUAUUUAGUUGUGGCAGAGCGAUGGAAAUGUGGAGGUUACUGGGAAUUUAUGACACAAUUGCAAAAGCCCGUCUUGUGGAUCGAUCAGACUCAACUGUUCUGGAGUACAUACUCCGGCUCCCACCUUCAAAGUUACCACACAUGCCAAACAUUGGGAUAAGCGAAGGGAUUAUUACAGCAUGCUGGUAUCUAUGGUGGCUCAGAAGAAGGCAAACACAUAAUGAGACAGUACCCCCAAUGAGCAGAAAUGCUAUUGCAGUCCAGGCGAUUUGCGCCAAUUUUUAG
RNAcentral lists this ribosomal RNA (987 nucleotides) under Triticum aestivum (bread wheat). RNAcentral's name for it is "partial small subunit ribosomal RNA". Lineage: Eukaryota; Viridiplantae; Streptophyta; Magnoliopsida; Poales; Poaceae. The record is from RNAcentral.